This 774-nucleotide ribosomal RNA is filed under the name uncultured Neocallimastigales. RNAcentral describes it as "partial large subunit ribosomal RNA". It matches the Rfam family "Eukaryotic large subunit ribosomal RNA", at positions 22 to 637 of the family's 3401-position model. Lineage: Eukaryota; Fungi; Neocallimastigomycota; Neocallimastigomycetes; Neocallimastigales. The record is from RNAcentral.
GUACACGCUGUGACUAGCAUAUCAAUAAGCGGAGGAAAAGAAACUAACAAGGAUUCCCCUAGUAACGGCGAGUGAAGCGGGAAGAGCUCAAAUUUGAAAUCUUAAAGGGUUUCCCUUUACGAAUUGUAGUUUAAAGAAGUGUUUUCUGUUGAGGUUUUGGUAAAAGUUCUUUGGAAUAGGACAUCAUAGAGGGUGAGAAUCCCGUAUUUGACCUUUACUUUCAACUUUGUGAUACACUUUCAAAGAGUCGGAUUGUUUGGGAAUGCAGUCCAAAAUGGGUGGUAAAUUUCAUCUAAAGCUAAAUAUUGGCGAGAGACCGAUAGCGAACAAGUACCGUGAGGGAAAGAUGAAAAGAACUUUGAAAAGAGAGUUAAACAGUACGUGAAAUUGUCAAAAGGGAAGCGUUUGACACCAGUGUUGUUUUUCUGAGAAUCAAUUAAAGAACUGUUUAUGCUAAGUUGUUUAGACUUUAUCAGCUAACUGUUUAGUUUUGAACUUUUCUUUAAUGCACUUUUCAGUUAACAAGUCAACAUCAAUUUCUUUUGCUGUAAAAAAGCUUGAGGAAGGUGGCUUGAGAUUCGUCUUAAGUGUUUAUAGCCUCUUGCCUAUGCAGUCGGAGAGAUUGAGGUCUGCAGCGUAGAUCCUUCGGGGCUAAAUGCAUUUGUGCUAAGUUAUAGCAUUUUAUAGACAACUUGUUGACUAUGAUUUGUCUUGUAGCUUACUCGCUUAUGUUAUUUUACCUACGCUUAGGAUGUUGACAGCAGUAUAGACUGU